Molecule: ribosomal RNA, 460 nt
Filed under: uncultured bacterium
Lineage: Bacteria
Description: partial 16S ribosomal RNA
Rfam family: Bacterial small subunit ribosomal RNA
Source: RNAcentral
CCUACGGGUGGCAGCAGUGAGGAAUAUUGGUCAAUGGGCGGAAGCCUGAACCAGCCAAGUAGCGUGCAGGAUGACGGCCCUACGGGUUGUAAACUGCUUUUAUACGGGAAUAACGCGCCUUACGUGUAGGGCUUUGCAUGUACCGUAUGAAUAAGGACCGGCUAAUUCCGUGCCAGCAGCCGCGGUAAUACGGAAGGUCCGGGCGUUAUCCGGAUUUAUUGGGGUUAAAGGGAGCGUAGGCCGCAUGUCAAGCGUGCUGUGAAAUGUCCGGGCUCAACCCGGGCCUUGCAGCGCGAACUGGCGUGCGUGAGUGCGCGAGAAGCAGGCGGAAUGCGUGGUGUAGCGGUGAAAUGCUUAGAUAUGACGAAGAACCCCGAUUGCGAAGGCAGCUUGCUGCAGCGGAACUGACGCUGAUGCUCGAAAGCGGGGGUAUCGAACAGGAUUAGAUACCCGUGUAGUC